CAGGCCUAACACAUGCAAGUCGAGCGGAAACGAGUUAUCUGAACCUUCGGGGAACGAUAACGGCGUCGAGCGGCGGACGGGUGAGUAAUGCCUAGGAAAUUGCCUUGAUGUGGGGGAUAACCAUUGGAAACGAUGGCUAAUACCGCAUAACGCCUACGGGCCAAAGAGGGGGACCUUCGGGCCUCUCGCGUCAAGAUAUGCCUAGGUGGGAUUAGCUAGUUGGUGAGGUAAUGGCUCACCAAGGCGACGAUCCCUAGCUGGUCUGAGAGGAUGAUCAGCCACACUGGAACUGAGACACGGUCCAGACUCCUACGGGAGGCAGCAGUGGGGAAUAUUGCACAAUGGGCGCAAGCCUGAUGCAGCCAUGCCGCGUGUAUGAAGAAGGCCUUCGGGUUGUAAAGUACUUUCAGCAGUGAGGAAGGGGGUGUCGUUAAUAGCGGCAUCUCUUGACGUUAGCUGCAGAAGAAGCACCGGCUAACUCCGUCGCCAGCAGCCGCGGUAAUACGGAGGGUGCGAGCGUUAAUCGGA
This 528-nucleotide ribosomal RNA is filed under the name Vibrio sp. OT381. RNAcentral describes it as "bacterial SSU rRNA". It matches the Rfam family "Bacterial small subunit ribosomal RNA", at positions 43 to 549 of the family's 1533-position model. Lineage: Bacteria; Pseudomonadati; Pseudomonadota; Gammaproteobacteria; Vibrionales; Vibrionaceae. The record is from RNAcentral.